GGGGAUUUAGCUCAGUGGUAGAGCACUUGCCUAGCAAGCGCAAGGCCCUGGGUCCAGUCCUCA
Mus musculus (house mouse) is the source of this 63-nucleotide non-coding RNA. Lineage: Eukaryota; Metazoa; Chordata; Mammalia; Rodentia; Muridae. The record is from Rfam.